This 3010-nucleotide ribosomal RNA is filed under the name Salmonella enterica subsp. enterica serovar Infantis. RNAcentral's name for it is "23S ribosomal RNA". It matches the Rfam family "Bacterial large subunit ribosomal RNA". Lineage: Bacteria; Pseudomonadati; Pseudomonadota; Gammaproteobacteria; Enterobacterales; Enterobacteriaceae. The record is from RNAcentral.
GGGUUGUGAGGUUAAGCGACUAAGCGUACACGGUGGAUGCCCUGGCAGUCAGAGGCGAUGAAGGACGUGCUAAUCUGCGAUAAGCGCCGGUAAGGUGAUAUGAACCGUUAUAACCGGCGAUUUCCGAAUGGGGAAACCCAGUGUGACUCGUCACACUAUCAUUAACUGAAUCCAUAGGUUAAUGAGGCGAACCGGGGGAACUGAAACAUCUAAGUACCCCGAGGAAAAGAAAUCAACCGAGAUUCCCCCAGUAGCGGCGAGCGAACGGGGAGGAGCCCAGAGCCUGAAUCAGCAUGUGUGUUAGUGGAAGCGUCUGGAAAGGCGCGCGAUACAGGGUGACAGCCCCGUACACAAAAGCGCAUGUGCUGUGAGCUCGAUGAGUAGGGCGGGACACGUGGUAUCCUGUCUGAAUAUGGGGGGACCAUCCUCCAAGGCUAAAUACUCCUGACUGACCGAUAGUGAACCAGUACCGUGAGGGAAAGGCGAAAAGAACCCCGGCGAGGGGAGUGAAAAAGAACCUGAAACCGUGUACGUACAAGCAGUGGGAGCACAGGUUUACCUGUGUGACUGCGUACCUUUUGUAUAAUGGGUCAGCGACUUAUAUUCUGUAGCAAGGUUAACCGAAUAGGGGAGCCGGAGGGAAACCGAGUCUUAACCGGGCGUUAAGUUGCAGGGUAUAGACCCGAAACCCGGUGAUCUAGCCAUGGGCAGGUUGAAGGUUGGGUAACACUAACUGGAGGACCGAACCGACUAAUGUUGAAAAAUUAGCGGAUGACCUGUGGCUGGGGGUGAAAGGCCAAUCAAACCGGGAGAUAGCUGGUUCUCCCCGAAAGCUAUUUAGGUAGCGCCUCGUGAAUUCAUCUCCGGGGGUAGAGCACUGUUUCGGCUAGGGGGCCAUCCCGGCUUACCAACCCGAUGCAAACUGCGAAUACCGGAGAAUGUUAUCACGGGAGACACACGGCGGGUGCUAACGUCCGUCGUGAAGAGGGAAACAACCCAGACCGCCAGCUAAGGUCCCAAAGUCAUGGUUAAGUGGGAAACGAUGUGGGAAGGCCCAGACAGCCAGGAUGUUGGCUUAGAAGCAGCCAUCAUUUAAAGAAAGCGUAAUAGCUCACUGGUCGAGUCGGCCUGCGCGGAAGAUGUAACGGGGCUAAACCAUGCACCGAAGCUGCGGCAGCGAACGUAUCACUUAAAGCGAUUCAGCGGGUUACGAUUGACGGAGCGAAGCGACGUCAAAGCGUAUACAAAGUCGAGUCGGUUUAAGGAUACGUUCGUUGGGUAGGGGAGCGUUCUGUAAGCCUGUGAAGGUGUGUCGUGAGGCAUGCUGGAGGUAUCAGAAGUGCGAAUGCUGACAUAAGUAACGAUAAAGCGGGUGAAAAGCCCGCUCGCCGGAAGACCAAGGGUUCCUGUCCAACGUUAAUCGGGGCAGGGUGAGUCGACCCCUAAGGCGAGGCCGAAAGGCGUAGUCGAUGGGAAACGGGUUAAUAUUCCCGUACUUGGUGUUACUGCGAAGGGGGGACGGAGAAGGCUAUGUUGGCCGGGCGACGGUUGUCCCGGUUUAAGCGUGUAGGUGUGUGUUCCAGGUAAAUCCGGUUCACUUUAACACUGAGGCGUGAUGACGAGGCACUACGGUGCUGAAGCAACAAAUGCCCUGCUUCCAGGAAAAGCCUCUAAGCAUCAGGUAACAUCAAAUCGUACCCCAAACCGACACAGGUGGUCAGGUAGAGAAUACCAAGGCGCUUGAGAGAACUCGGGUGAAGGAACUAGGCAAAAUGGUGCCGUAACUUCGGGAGAAGGCACGCUGACAUGUAGGUGAAGUGAUUUACUCAUGGAGCUGAAGUCAGUCGAAGAUACCAGCUGGCUGCAACUGUUUAUUAAAAACACAGCACUGUGCAAACACGAAAGUGGACGUAUACGGUGUGACGCCUGCCCGGUGCCGGAAGGUUAAUUGAUGGGGUCAGCGCAAGCGAAGCUCCUGAUCGAAGCCCCGGUAAACGGCGGCCGUAACUAUAACGGUCCUAAGGUAGCGAAAUUCCUUGUCGGGUAAGUUCCGACCUGCACGAAUGGCGUAAUGAUGGCCAGGCUGUCUCCACCCGAGACUCAGUGAAAUUGAACUCGCUGUGAAGAUGCAGUGUACCCGCGGCAAGACGGAAAGACCCCGUGAACCUUUACUAUAGCUUGACACUGAACAUUGAGCCUUGAUGUGUAGGAUAGGUGGGAGGCUUUGAAGCGUGGACGCCAGUCUGCGUGGAGCCGACCUUGAAAUACCACCCUUUAAUGUUUGAUGUUCUAACGUGGACCCGUAAUCCGGGUUGCGGACAGUGUCUGGUGGGUAGUUUGACUGGGGCGGUCUCCUCCUAAAGAGUAACGGAGGAGCACGAAGGUUGGCUAAUCCUGGUCGGACAUCAGGAGGUUAGUGCAAUGGCAUAAGCCAGCUUGACUGCGAGCGUGACGGCGCGAGCAGGUGCGAAAGCAGGUCAUAGUGAUCCGGUGGUUCUGAAUGGAAGGGCCAUCGCUCAACGGAUAAAAGGUACUCCGGGGAUAACAGGCUGAUACCGCCCAAGAGUUCAUAUCGACGGCGGUGUUUGGCACCUCGAUGUCGGCUCAUCACAUCCUGGGGCUGAAGUAGGUCCCAAGGGUAUGGCUGUUCGCCAUUUAAAGUGGUACGCGAGCUGGGUUUAGAACGUCGUGAGACAGUUCGGUUCCUAUCUGCCGUGGGCGCUGGAGAACUGAGGGGGGCUGCUCCUAGUACGAGAGGACCGGAGUGGACGCAUCACUGGUGUUCGGGUUGUCAUGCCAAUGGCACUGCCCGGUAGCUAAAUGCGGAAGAGAUAAGUGCUGAAAGCAUCUAAGCACGAAACUUGCCCCGAGAUGAGUUCUCCCUGAGACUUAGAGUCUCCUGAAGGAACGUUGAAGACGACGACGUUGAUAGGCCGGGUGUGUAAGCGCAGCGAUGCGUUGAGCUAACCGGUACUAAUGAACCGUGAGGCUUAACCUUACAACGCCGAAG